GAAUUCGCCCUUAGAGUUUGAUCCUGGCUCAGGACGAACGCUGGCGGCACGCUUAACACAUGCAAGUCGAACGAGAGAAGAGAAGCUUGCUUUUCUGAUCUAGUGGCGGACGGGUGAGUAACACGUGAGCAAUCUGCCUUUCAGAGGGGGAUACCGAUUGGAAACGAUCGUUAAUACCGCAUAAUAUAAUUGAACCGCAUGAUUUGAUUAUCAAAGAUUUAUCGCUGAAAGAUGAGCUCGCGUCUGAUUAGCUAGUUGGUAAGGUAACGGCUUACCAAGGCGACGAUCAGUAGCCGGACUGAGAGGUUGAUCGGCCACAUUGGGACUGAGACACGGCCCAAACUCCUACGGGAGGCAGCAGUGGGGAAUAUUGCACAAUGGAGGAAACUCUGAUGCAGCGAUGCCGCGUGAGGGAAGAAGGUUUUAGGAUUGUAAACCUCUGUCUUCAGGGACGAAAAAAGACGGUACCUGAGGAGGAAGCUCCGGCUAACUACGUGCCAGCAGCCGCGGUAAUACGUAGGGAGCGAGCGUUGUCCGGAAUUACUGGGUGUAAAGGGAGCGUAGGCGGGAUCGCAAGUCAGAUGUGAAAACUAUGGGCUUAACCCAUAAACUGCAUUUGAAACUGUGGUUCUUGAGUGAAGUAGAGGUAAGCGGAAUUCCUAGUGUAGCGGUGAAAUGCGUAGAUAUUAGGAGGAACAUCAGUGGCGAAGGCGGCUUACUGGGCUUUAACUGACGCUGAGGCUCGAAAGCGUGGGGAGCAAACAGGAUUAGAUACCCUGGUAGUCCACGCCGUAAACGAUGAUUACUAGGUGUGGGGGGACUGACCCCUUCCGUGCCGCAGCAAACGCAAUAAGUAAUCCACCUGGGGAGUACGACCGCAAGGUUGAAACUCAAAGGAAUUGACGGGGGCCCGCACAAGCAGUGGAGUAUGUGGAUUAAUUCGAAGCAACGCGAAGAACCUUACCAGGUCUUGACAUCGUAUGCAUAGCUCAGAGAUGAGUGAAAUCUCUUCGGAGACAUAUAGACAGGUGGUGCAUGGUUGUCGUCAGCUCGUGUCGUGAGAUGUUGGGUUAAGUCCCGCAACGAGCGCAACCCUUACUGUUAGUUGCUACGCAAGAGCACUCUAGCAGGACUGCCGUUGACAAAACGGAGGAAGGUGGGGAUGACGUCAAAUCAUCAUGCCCCUUAUGACCUGGGCCUCACACGUACUACAAUGGCUGUUAACAGAGGGAUGCAAAGCCGCGAGGUGGAGCGAACCCCUAAAAGCAGUCUUAGUUCGGAUUGUAGGCUGCAACCCGCCUACAUGAAGUCGGAAUUGCUAGUAAUCGCAGAUCAGCAUGCUGCGGUGAAUACGUUCCCGGGCCUUGCACACACCGCCCGUCA
RNAcentral lists this ribosomal RNA (1383 nucleotides) under uncultured bacterium. RNAcentral's name for it is "bacterial SSU rRNA". It matches the Rfam family "Bacterial small subunit ribosomal RNA". The record is from RNAcentral.